AAAAAAUUUCGGUUGNGAAGGNNCCGGGCCUUUCAAUUUNNNNGGGAAGUAAUGUUCCCCCAAGGGUGGNNCGGUAGACGCCCNGAANGGUGACCGGCCCCCNUGGGACNANAACCCGCCCCNACNCCUACGGGAGGCAGCAGUGGGGAAUAUUGCCCAAUNGGGCCAAGCCUGAUGCAGCAACGCCGGGUGANGGAUGACGGCUUUCGGGUUUUAACCUCUUUUAGCAGGGAAGAAGCGAAAGUGACGGUACCUGCAGAAAAAGCGCCGGCUAACUACGUGCCAGCAGCCGCGGUAAUACGUAGGGCGCAAGCGUUAUCCGGAAUUAUUGGGCGUAAAGAGCUCGUAGGCGGUUUGUCGCGUCUGCUGUGAAAUCCGGAGGCUCAACCUCCGGCCUGCAGUGGGUACGGGCAGACUAGAGUGCGGUAGGGGAGAUUGGAAUUCCUGGUGUAGCGGUGGAAUGCGCAGAUAUCAGGAGGAACACCGAUGGCGAAGGCAGAUCUCUGGGCCGUAACUGACGCUGAGGAGCGAAAGGGUGGGGAGCAAACAGGCUUAGAUACCCUGGUAGUCCACCCCGUAAACGUUGGGAACUAGUUGUGGGGUCCAUUCCACGGAUUCCGUGACGCAGCUAACGCAUUAAGUUCCCCGCCUGGGGAGUACGGCCGCAAGGCUAAAACUCAAAGGAAUUGACGGGGACCCGCACAAGCGGCGGAGCAUGCGGAUUAAUUCGAUGCAACGCGAAGAACCUUACCAAGGCUUGACAUAUACGAGAACGGGCCAGAAAUGGUCAACUCUUUGGACACUCGUAAACAGGUGGUGCAUGGUUGUCGUCAGCUCGUGUCGUGAGAUGUUGGGUUAAGUCCCGCAACGAGCGCAACCCUCGUUCUAUGUUGCCAGCACGUAAUGGUGGGAACUCAUGGGAUACUGCCGGGGUCAACUCGGAGGAAGGUGGGGAUGACGUCAAAUCAUCAUGCCCCUUAUGUCUUGGGCUUCACGCAUGCUACAAUGGCCGGUACAAAGGGCUGCAAUACCGCGAGGUGGAGCGAAUCCCAAAAAGCCGGUCCCAGUUCGGAUUGAGGUCUGCAACUCGACCUCAUGAAGUCGGAGUCGCUAGUAAUCGCAGAUCAGCAACGCUGCGGUGAAUACGUUCCCGGGUCUUGUACACACCGCCCGUCAAGUCAUGAAAGUCGGUAACACCUGAAGCCGGUGGCCUAACCCUUGUGGAGGGAGCCGUCGAA
RNAcentral lists this ribosomal RNA (1238 nucleotides) under Microbacterium saperdae. RNAcentral describes it as "bacterial SSU rRNA". It matches the Rfam family "Bacterial small subunit ribosomal RNA", at positions 207 to 1460 of the family's 1533-position model. Lineage: Bacteria; Bacillati; Actinomycetota; Actinomycetes; Micrococcales; Microbacteriaceae. The record is from RNAcentral.